UAAUUUGUUGCUUAAAAAGUGUUGUAGCUUAGAAAUUGAUGUGGAAAAGCAAGCAAUAAAGCAUUGUAGCUUGCCAUUGGAGAUGCUCUGCUGGUAGCUGAAUUAUCUCUUUAUACUUUCUCGUGGGACCAAUUAAUUGGAUAAGAAUUUUAGUGAAAUUUGAUCAAAGCCCAAUCCUCUAGAUAAAGGAAACAAUUCAUAAAAAAAGUAAUUCAAUAAAUACAUACGUAUAUAUAUAUAUAUAAAAAAAAAAAAUUAAAAUCGUCAUUACAUUAUUACAUAUUAAACCGAACAACUUUUUUUCUUUUUUCUUUUUCCUUUUUUUGCACUGUGCUCCAAAUUUCCAACUUCUUCCCUUAAUCUUCCAACUUUCUGUUCGUAAUACAGUUUUAAUAACAGGGCAAUUAAGGAGCAGAAAAGCAGCAUCAAUGGCGAUGAGAUUGAGCAUGUCGUUGCGAGUGGCGGCAUUCGUGUGGGCAGCUUUAUGCAGUUUUCUUUCUGUCAUGUUUACAUAUGCUCAAGAUAUUGCUAAUUCUUAGGUACCUAUAACUAUUUUCUGUGCCCGGAAUUAGGUUAUCCUUCAUCCUUUUUCAUUGAUUAUGAACCGCAGUGUUGUAAUUGGGUAUAAUAAAGUGAGUUUAAUCGAAAUUAGGAUUUUUUUUAAAAAAAGAUAUUUCUUAUGAUAGGGUUUUUAUUUUUAUUUUUAGGGGGGACCUUAAUUAUGUAAAAAUUUGAUAGGGAUGUAAAUACUUAUAGUGAAUGAUUGGAAUUAUUGAGUUUAGAGACUAUUUUUGAUA
Molecule: long non-coding RNA, 797 nt
Organism: Chenopodium quinoa (quinoa)
Lineage: Eukaryota; Viridiplantae; Streptophyta; Magnoliopsida; Caryophyllales; Amaranthaceae
Exons: 2
Source: RefSeq, a predicted model, not a curated record